The sequence is a small nuclear RNA, 136 nucleotides long. Its record names the gene U2. It matches the Rfam family "U2 spliceosomal RNA". Rfam says of the family: U2 is a small nuclear RNA (snRNA) component of the spliceosome (involved in pre-mRNA splicing). Complementary binding between U2 snRNA (in an area lying towards the 5' end but 3' to hairpin I) and the branchpoint sequence (BPS) of the intron results the bulging out of an unpaired adenosine, on the BPS, which initiates a nucleophilic attack at the intronic 5' splice site, thus starting the first of two transesterification reactions that mediate splicing. The record is from Ensembl.
AUCGCUUCUCGGCCUUUUGGCUAAGAUCAAGUGUACAUAUAAUAGUGAUACUGAAUUUUCUUCUGAAAUUAAUUAGAAAGCUUUAGUAUCAUAUGGGUCUGAUAUAUCACCUUUCGUUUUGUUUCAUAUGUUCAAG